CUUGCGCCCCGGCUUGAACGGAACUCCUUUUUGCUUGCCUAAAAUUUCUAAAUUAUUAAACAAUUUUCUUGCAAAAAGAGUGGGAGUGGAAGACGGAAAUGUGC
RNAcentral lists this unclassified non-coding RNA (104 nucleotides) under Halpernia frigidisoli. RNAcentral's name for it is "Chryseobacterium frigidisoli Flavo-1 RNA". Lineage: Bacteria; Pseudomonadati; Bacteroidota; Flavobacteriia; Flavobacteriales; Weeksellaceae. The record is from RNAcentral.